This 72-nucleotide transfer RNA is filed under the name bacterium. Its description in RNAcentral is "tRNA-Val". It matches the Rfam family "tRNA". From Rfam's summary of the family: Transfer RNA (tRNA) molecules are approximately 80 nucleotides in length. Their secondary structure includes four short double-helical elements and three loops (D, anti-codon, and T loops). Further hydrogen bonds mediate the characteristic L-shaped molecular structure. tRNAs have two regions of fundamental functional importance: the anti-codon, which is responsible for specific mRNA codon recognition, and the 3' end, to which the tRNAs corresponding amino acid is attached (by aminoacyl-tRNA synthetases). tRNAs cope with the degeneracy of the genetic code in two manners: having more than one tRNA (with a specific anti-codon) for a particular amino acid; and 'wobble' base-pairing, i.e. permitting non-standard base-pairing at the 3rd anti-codon position. RNAcentral also lists the same sequence under 1 other name. The record is from RNAcentral.
GGGCGCAUAACUCAGCGGAAGAGUGCGAUCCUCACACGGUCGAAGUCGCAGGUUCAAACCCUGCUGCGCCCA